ACAGUGAAGUGUUACUCUGCUUAAAAAUACUACUACUUUAGCGCCUCCAGAACCACCAUUCGUAAUUCUUGUCCAAGAUUUACAGCUAAAAUCUGAAAGUGUGUAGAGCUCGUGGUAUGAUCACAUACAACUGGUGCAAGAUGACAGUAGCAAAUUAAACAUGUCAGCGUCCUCGCAAAAACAUUCUCCAACUCUAGAAGCGCGCCAGGGACUUGGGGGUUGAGAGUGGCAGGACAGCUUCACAAUUGUGACGUUAAGGCCAGAACAACAGGCCCGAUGCAAGUUAGAUAAUUAGAGGUGGGCAGUGGGCAGUGGUCAGCGAAAGGGGACAACGAAGGGACGACUUUUGUCCGUUUUUACAAAUUGACAGUGUAACGAUUUUUUUUGUUGUUGUUGUUGAUUGUAUAUGUAUAUGAUAAAUUUUAAUGAUUUUUUUUGUCAACAUUUGUGACAAAUUCUUUGCAGUAAAUAAAUACAUGUAUUAAAACCAUGUGUAUCCUUUGCUUCUAUAUAAUAAACUUCAUCUGGUGGUUUCAUCAUGGGGGGGGGGGGGAGGAGAUGGAUAAAGAAAAAGACAGAAAACAGGCAUUUCUUCAGACUUCUUAGAUCUAUCACUGACGUUUUACCUGAGAUUGUAUUGGAUCUCCACAUGGAGCUACAUAAUGUAUGUUAUGAGUUUCUAAAGAAAUUCGAUGCUUCUCGUCCGAGAGAGCCAAGCCCUGCCCAGGACACAGGUACAGCUGGUUCCCAGUAGAGCCAGCAGAAAAGGUCAACCAUCAUAAAGCCAGUAACUAAGGCUCUAACGUCAUAGAGGAACCAAGUUUGUAAAUAGUUGAAACAUGCAGAAAAUGAAAACAGCAUGCCUGAGAUGAAAUCUAAAACCACGACACCCAUUUAUCUUUAUUCAUGAUUGUAACGGACAAGUGCGAAAUAGAGGGGGGAAGGGGGGAAGGUUGACAACCGUGGUUGACCUGUUUUUGGUGGGAAGUGUGGGCCACGGUGGGUAUUCAAGCCCGACCGUGAGCGGCCAGUGGGCGGCUGAUCAUAACUUGGUGGAUUUGUGGUUUUUCUUCACCGACUCGCUGCUGCUGCGAUCUCUGUGGACGUAAUGCUGUGGAUGUACAUCACUGCUCGUGUUUUCUGGAGUCCGCGUCCUCGCCGUGAGAGCUCUGUGGGUUUGAGCGACACGCCGUGCACCGGCGUAGGCGAGCAACCGACGGACCAGGACCAGAAAACUUUGUGUGAGCAAGGGGGGAGGCUACUCUACCUUUCUUUAGGCUUGCGCACUACCAUCCGUCAUCCGGAAGGGAAAGUAUCAGAUCAGCCCGAGUUUAAACCGCCGGUGGAGGGGAGGCUUUCUCUCACCUUCCAACUCACCUACUCUCAUCCGGCCAACCACCUGGAAGACAAACGCAUGCGCAGGGUAGCGACUUUCUGCCAGCGACCUUUCGGUAUUGUAAAACACUCUAUUUAUGAUAAAUCGAAUUAAAGGCAGGAAAGUUGGUAUUUAUCCUAUAAACAGAGGAGUUGGGAGGAUUGCAGUGACUAUGAUAUAAUAACGUAUGGGUUUCGUCAAGGACUUACAUUUAGUAUUAUAAUAUUGUGGAUAAUAACGUUGGAAUUUCGUCAAGGACUUACAGCACCGGAGACUGCUGAAUACCUUACAGGUGACAUUAUUUGUGUGAACCAGCUUUAUCGUUGUCUUUAUUGUUGAAUUGGAUUCUUGACAUUACUUUAUUUGUGUGAACCAGCUUUAUUGUUGUCUCUAUUAGUGCCUUGGAUUAUUGAUAUACUAUACUGGUAAUAUAUCUUGUAUAGGAAAGAAGGAGUGGUACACUGAUUAUUGAUACAUUGUUUUAGUUAUUUGUUUGUACCCAAUAAUUAUUGGUGCCUUGAAGGAGGGACGCCCACCUUAUCUUAUCUCUUUUGUGGAAAGAAUGCGCAUGUCUGCGGGUGGACCGUGACAUAUUGGUGACCCCGACGUGAUCGCUUUAGGGUGAGGCUUUUCGAGGUGAGGCCGGGUUUACACACAUUUUUUGGUUGCAAGAGUUUUUCACCUGCAUCUCGGGUUUUGUUUUAUCCCCCGUCUCCGAUUACACGGGUCUGCCGGCGUGUAUAGUUCUGCCGACAGAGAGGGCAGUAGGUCUGGUCUUGCUGUUAAAUGUGUCUAUUUUUCACAGCUCUAGUAACUUAAGCCUAGAAUCCUUAAUUGUGUGUUAUUUGUGUGGGCGUUCCUUUCUGAAUUAGACACGUGUCAGUUGUAAAUCGAUGUGAAUGCUAACUGUUCCUGCUUGGACUUAGCAUUAUGUUCUUUUAGUUGUUAUUUUUAGACAGUAACUUUUACUGGGAAUUAAUUUUGUGAUAAAAAUAUUGUUUCCAAUAAGUCUUAUUUUGUGAAAUGGCAAAGUUUUUAUUUUUGUUAUUCUUAUUAUUGGUGAUCAUUUUGACUAUUCUUGUAUUGUUUUCAAACAAAGGCUAGGUCAAGGCUGAUAGAAAGUUCUCACGCUAUGAUUUGAGCUCUUUUCUAGACAAGACAAAGGAUCGGAAAUGUCCUUACAUGGACGCAUGUAUUAACAUACUUUGCAGAUACCUAAUCAGAAUUCAUGCCAACCAUGACGGGGUUAUAGGCUACAUGUACGAAAGCUCUUCGGAAGUUUUCCAGGGUUCCCAGGGAUCAGGGAGGGUGCCAGAACGGGUCAACGCACCUCUGAAGUCAAUUGCUGAAGUCGACACACUUCUCAGGAAGGGUUGCAGUGAGGAACUUAGACAGCUUUGAGCCGACCUCAGACAACUUUACUCCACAAGAGCCACGAAAGACCAAGACGCUGAUGUCACUCCCCAGAAGUUUCUAGCCAAAAACGCUGAGCUUGCAUCUCGAACUUUCUUGUGGAAAACGCUGAGCUUGCAUCUAGAUCUUUCUGUCAACAUGCUUCCAUUCGUCCUACGUCAUAACCCCAAUUAGAUGACGAAAAAAACAAAAAUCCUCGCGAAAAUUGCGUCAGCAUUCGCGCGUCUUUGUACCAGAGACAAUACCCAAGUAGAACAAAGGGGAAAAAAACCACUCGCUCGAAUCGCGAAUCGUUACAGUUAUCUGAAGCCUUGAUGCACCCAUUGUUCUUCUGUACAGCUUCUGAAGAUAAUAAAAUAUGGGAAAAUUGGGAUUUGUAAAUUAAAGAAGGUAAAUAGGUUUACAGAUUAAAAGAAGUCUCACACCACACAUCUUAUUUCAGUUCUAUGGUGCUUCUGCUUCUUCCCCAUGUCUUUCUGUUUUCAGGUGUCUUUAAGCAAGUUUCACACAUGGAAGCACAAUUGAUUCUGACAAGAGUUU
Molecule: long non-coding RNA, 3328 nt
Organism: Pomacea canaliculata
Lineage: Eukaryota; Metazoa; Mollusca; Gastropoda; Architaenioglossa; Ampullariidae
Exons: 3
Source: RefSeq, a predicted model, not a curated record